UAGGGAAUCUUCGGCAAUGGACGAAAGUCUGACCGAGCAACGCCGCGUGAGUGAAGAAGGUUUUCGGAUCGUAAAACUCUGUUGUUAGAGAAGAACAAGGACGUUAGUAACUGAACGUCCCCUGACGGUAUCUAACCAGAAAGCCACGGCUAACUACGUGCCAGCAGCCGCGGUAAUACGUAGGUGGCAAGCGUUGUCCGGAUUUAUUGGGCGUAAAGCGAGCGCAGGCGGUUUCUUAAGUCUGAUGUGAAAGCCCCCGGCUCAACCGGGGAGGGUCAUUGGAAGCUGGGAGACUUGAGUGCAGAAGAGGAGGGUGGAAUUCCAUGUGUAGCGGUGACAUGCGUAGAGAUAUGGAGGAACACCAGUGGCGAAGGCGGCUCUCUGGUCUGUAACUGACGCUGAGGCUCGAAAGCGUGGGGAGCAAACAGG
This 429-nucleotide ribosomal RNA is filed under the name Gemmatimonadota bacterium. RNAcentral's name for it is "Gemmatimonadetes bacterium partial 16S ribosomal RNA". It matches the Rfam family "Bacterial small subunit ribosomal RNA", at positions 355 to 776 of the family's 1533-position model. Lineage: Bacteria; Pseudomonadati; Gemmatimonadota. The record is from RNAcentral.